Molecule: RNA transcript, 4324 nt
Organism: Myotis lucifugus (little brown bat)
Lineage: Eukaryota; Metazoa; Chordata; Mammalia; Chiroptera; Vespertilionidae
Gene: PIP5K1C
Gene name: phosphatidylinositol-4-phosphate 5-kinase type 1 gamma
Exons: 17
Source: RefSeq, a predicted model, not a curated record
CGGCCCUCCUCCUGCUCCCUGGGCUCGGCUCCCUCCCUCGAUCCUCCGGUCGGCGGCGGUUGUUGUUCCGCGGCGGCGGCCGCACCUCGAGUCCUACCCUCCGGCCGCCCGCUCGCUAGCGGGUCCGCGCGCGCGCGCGCGCGGCCAUGGAGCUGGAAGUGCCGGAGGAGGCGGAGAGCGCCGAGGGGGGGACCGUGACCUCGGAGGCGACCUGGUCCGCGGAGAGCGGCGCGGUGGCAGGUUUGGCCCAGAAAAAGGCGGCCCUGACGGAGGCCCCGUCAGUGACUGGACAGCCGGGCCCUGGUCACGGGAGGAAGCUGGGCCAUCGGGGCGUGGACGCAUCUGGUGAAACCACUUACAAAAAGACCACGUCUUCCACCCUGAAGGGGGCCAUCCAGCUGGGCAUUGGCUACACCGUGGGCAACCUGAGCUCCAAGCCGGAGCGAGACGUGCUUAUGCAGGACUUCUACGUCGUGGAGAGCAUCUUCUUCCCCAGUGAAGGCAGCAACCUCACUCCCGCUCACCACUUCCAGGACUUCAGGUUCAAGACCUAUGCACCUGUCGCCUUCCGCUACUUCCGGGAGCUCUUCGGCAUCCGGCCAGAUGAUUACUUGUACUCACUGUGCAAUGAGCCUCUGAUCGAGCUGUCCAACCCUGGCGCCAGCGGCUCCCUCUUCUACGUCACCAGCGACGAUGAGUUCAUCAUUAAGACGGUGAUGCACAAAGAGGCAGAGUUCCUGCAGAAACUGCUGCCCGGCUACUACAUGAACCUCAACCAGAAUCCGCGGACGCUCCUGCCCAAGUUCUAUGGGUUGUACUGCGUGCAGUCCGGGGGCAAGAACAUCCGCGUGGUGGUCAUGAACAACAUCCUGCCACGCAUGGUCAAGAUGCACCUCAAGUUUGAUCUCAAGGGCUCCACAUACAAGCGGCGGGCCAGCAAGAAGGAACGGGAGAAGAGCAUCCCCACCUACAAGGACCUGGACUUCAUCCAGGACAUGCCCGAGGGACUCCUGCUGGACGCUGACACCUUUUCUGCGCUCGUCAAGACGCUGCAGCGGGACUGCCUGGUGCUGGAGAGCUUCAAGAUCAUGGACUACAGCCUGCUCCUGGGUGUGCACAACAUCGACCAGCAGGAGCGGGAGUGGCAGGCUGAGGGUGCCCAGAGCACGGCAGAUGAGAAGCGGCCGCUCGGUCAGAAGGCGCUCUACUCCACAGCCAUGGAGUCCAUCCAGGGCGGGGCCGCGUGUGGGGAGGCCAUCGAGACGGAUGACACGAUGGGUGGGAUCCCCGCCGUGAAUGGCCGAGGGGAGCGUCUGCUGCUGCACAUCGGGAUCAUCGACAUCCUGCAGUCCUACAGGUUCAUCAAGAAGCUGGAACACACCUGGAAGGCACUUGUCCACGAUGGGGACACUGUCUCCGUCCACCGGCCCAGCUUCUACGCCGAGCGCUUCUUCAAGUUCAUGAGCAACACAGUCUUUCGGAAGAACUCCUCCCUGAAGUCAUCACCAUCCAAGAAGGGCCGUGGUGCCUUGUUGGCCGUCAAACCCCUGGGGCCCACAGCUGCCUUCUCAGCCAGCCAGAUCCCCAGUGAGCGGGAGGACACGCAGUACGACCUGCGGGGCGCCCGCAGCUACCCCACGCUGGAGGACGAAGGCCGGCCUGACCUCCUGCCCUGCACACCACCUUCUUUUGAGGAGGCCACCACUGCAUCCAUCGCCACGACCCUGUCCUCCACAUCCCUGUCCAUCCCGGAGCGGUCCCCCUCAGAGACCUCAGAGCAGCCAAGGUACAGGCGGCGCACACAGUCCUCUGGACAGGAUAGCCGCCCACCGAUGAGAGGAGCUGGGUGUACUCCCCGCUCCACUAUAGUGCACAGGCCCACUCAGCCUCCGACGGCGAGAGCGACACAUAAUUUCUACGAAUCACCAACCCAUAGGAGUGGAGCAUACACUUGGCCAGCCCAGCUCGGCCCAGAGCACAGGAGAUGCCACCUGGCUGCCACUGGAUCUCACUCGCCCACACCCUCCCCUUGGCGAUGGUCGCUGAUGCUCCGGGCCCCAAAGCAAUGACCCCGGUUCCGUCAACUACCUGCGCCUGUGAUACUGUGAACCUUCCUGAGUUUCCAAUCAUGUAUUUAUUUUGGGUCCUUACUCUUUGCACAGAGACAGCAGCACACAGCUGCUUUUUUUACUAAAACAAAAAACAAAACAAAAAAAAACACAAUGGGAAAAGAAGACACUUCAUUCUAUGCACUUUUUGGUUCUUUGCUAUGCUUGCAUGUGUCUUGCUGAGAGAACAAGGCUCAUUGGCUUUGGGGACCUGUGACCCAGUGGUCCAGCCAUUCCAGGUGAAAAUCCUGCUGAGUGUCCGCAGGCACCACCCUGCUCCGCCUCUGUCUAUCUUGGAUGGGCACCUAGAAGAAGGGCCACCAGGUCCCCACUGGUUCCCAGGGCACCUCUGGAAGCCACACACCUGUGCCCAGCAGCUGCUCUCAGCUCAGGGCUGGCCAUUCCAGGGCCCCCCUGGGCGACCGCCAGGAUACGCUGCUGUGUCCGGAGGGGCUGCUGUAGCCGGCAGCUUUGCAAAGUCUCUCACUCCUCCCCCUAGACACACUUCCACCCCCUGAGAUGAAUGUCAGUGAUGGCUGCCCCCUGCCCACUCUGUGGACCCCCGCCAGCUCUGGCCCACAUGGGAACAGCUGGGAACCGGCCCGGAAUAGAAGCCACUUCUUUUGGAAGAAUUUCUCCCCAGCCCCGGCCUCCCUGGUGGAGCCUGAGACAGCUAGAUAACUCGCUGAUCUCGGAAUCUGACUUUUUGAGUCCUUUGCAAGCUGCAUAUACUGUUGCUGGUUCUUGCUAUGCAGGUCCCUCCUCAUCCCACCUCAGACAGCCUGCUGGAGGAACCUGUUGAUCUGGCUGCUGUCCACUCUUCCCUGGGGAACCAGGCUGCACCCCGAAGGCUCUCUUGCUGUCUGCGCAGGGGCAGCACCUCAGCUCUGAGCAGGGCCAUGGGAGACUCUGUGCAGCCUGGGGAAGGGGGCCCUCAGAGAAUCCGCCAGAAUAACCUGCAGGCAGCCUGAACAAGAAGCAAGACAGCAUUCUCUCCCUACUGCCCAAGGAGCAUUUGUCCAGACCCUGGGGAACACCCUCACCUGGAUUUCAGACCAGCGCUGUCUGCAGACACUCUGGCCACAAGUCACCAGUCUGUUCUGACCAGUCCCACCAAGAAGGCAGGCAGGCUGAGCAGGCAGACUUCUGGAGGACUAACAGGGACAGCUGCGUCACCCAAACACCAACGUGAGAGUCACCACCCAGGCCCCCAGAGGCUGGGCCCCAGAGACAUCCUGAGCCCCACUGGCGAUGACCAGUGGAGCUGCACAGUCCUGGGGCAGUGGGCCCUGCGUCCAGGGCAUCCUUGGUCAGUAUAGAAACGAGCAAGGGAGUUGCUGUGUGGCCCCAUCAGGCCCAGCCCCUGCUGGGCCCCUUGGGCUCUCCUGAGUGAAUCACAGAACAAGUGCAGUGGUUGGAUGCUGACUUGUAGGAGAAAUUUGCAAACCUCCUGGAUAUGACAUUUCUGUUUUCGUGUUAAGUCAGGAAGACCCCUUUGGAGACCCAUUUUGUGUUGUAUUCUUUGUCCCAGGACUGUGCUGAUGGGAGGCAUUUGUCCAUUCUUUUCUGGGCAGGGGGGCAGGAAGGCAAGACCUUAUUUAUAACUGUAGUGGACCCAUGGCCUUCCUCAGACCCCUGACCAGGAAGGCCUGGGCCAACCCAGCCGUCCCCCACCCGGCCCCCCAAAGAUGGAAAUCUGUAAAUUGCCCCCGUUUCUCUCCUGACUCAUCUCUGAUGGCCGCUGUCGCUGAGAACAUGGGCAGCGUCUGACUUGCUGUACUGUAAAAACGAAAGGCAUUUCCUGAGGCUGACAAGGUAGAACCUUCUGUGUGUCCCCUGCCAGCCGCCUCUCAAACCCCCAACCCCUUCCACCACCUGGCUUAGUGCAAUACUCCCAUCCCUGAUGGGGUCUCUUGCCAUGGUACUGUCACCACAGCCCACGGUCCCCAUCCCAACCUUGUUUUUAUGGCUGAACUGAUUUCAAAACACAACGAAACUGCAAACCUUGUGUGUCUUAAUUCUCACCGGGGCUUCCGCGUGCUCAGCCCCUGGUCUGGUAUGUGACAAUCCAGAGCGCAGCCUCCUGGGCGCCUCUGUAACCUUACAGCCACUGCUGGCCCUGAUAACACUCAUAUGCAGCCCCGGGCCCCACCCCUGCCACCCCUUCCUCUUUUUAUGUUGAAGAGAUCUCUAAUAAAUCGGGUAAUACUCAUCUA